Molecule: ribosomal RNA, 1335 nt
Filed under: Mycobacterium sp. NJS-1
Lineage: Bacteria; Bacillati; Actinomycetota; Actinomycetes; Mycobacteriales; Mycobacteriaceae
Description: bacterial SSU rRNA
Rfam family: Bacterial small subunit ribosomal RNA
Source: RNAcentral
UACACGAGUGGCGAACGGGUGAGUAACACGUGGGUGAUCUGCCCUGCACUUUGGGAUAAGCCUGGGAAACUGGGUCUAAUACCGGAUAGGACCACGGCCUUCAUGGGUUGUGGUGGAAAGCUUUUGCGGUGUGGGAUGGGCCCGCGGCCUAUCAGCUUGUUGGUGGGGUAAUGGCCUACCAAGGCGACGACGGGUAGCCGGCCUGAGAGGGUGUCCGGCCACACUGGGACUGAGAUACGGCCCAGACUCCUACGGGAGGCAGCAGUGGGGAAUAUUGCACAAUGGGCGCAAGCCUGAUGCAGCGACGCCGCGUGAGGGAUGACGGCCUUCGGGUUGUAAACCUCUUUCAGUAGGGACGAAGCGCAAGUGACGGUACCUAUAGAAGAAGCACCGGCCAACUACGUGCCAGCAGCCGCGGUAAUACGUAGGGUGCGAGCGUUGUCCGGAAUUACUGGGCGUAAAGAGCUCGUAGGUGGUUUGUCGCGUUGUUCGUGAAAACUCACAGCUUAACUGUGGGCGUGCGGGCGAUACGGGCAGACUGGAGUACUGCAGGGGAGACUGGAAUUCCUGGUGUAGCGGUGGAAUGCGCAGAUAUCAGGAGGAACACCGGUGGCSAAGGCGGGUCUCUGGGCAGUAACUGACGCUGAGGAGCGAAAGCGUGGGGAGCGAACAGGAAUUAGAUACCCUGGUAGUCCACGCCGUAAACGGUGGGUACUAGGUGUGGGUUUCCUYCCUUGGGAUCCGUGCCGUARCUAACGCAUUAAGUACCCCGCCUGGGGAGUACGGCCGCAAGGCUAAAACUCAAAGGAAUUGACGGGGGCCCGCACAAGCGGCGGAGCAUGUGGAUUAAUUCGAUGCAACGCGAAGAACCUUACCUGGGUUUGACAUGCACAGGACGCCGGCAGAGAUGUCGGUUCCCUUGUGGCCUGUGUGCAGGUGGUGCAUGGCUGUCGUCAGCUCGUGUCGUGAGAUGUUGGGUUAAGUCCCGCAACGAGCGCAACCCUUGUCUCAUGUUGCCAGCACGUUAUGGUGGGGACUCGUGAGAGACUGCCGGGGUCAACUCGGAGGAAGGUGGGGAUGACGUCAAGUCAUCAUGCCCCUUAUGUCCAGGGCUUCACACAUGCUACAAUGGCCGGUACAAAGGGCUGCGAUGCCGUGAGGUGGAGCGAAUCCUUUCAAAGCCGGUCUCAGUUCGGAUCGGGGUCUGCAACUCGACCCCGUGAAGUCGGAGUCGCUAGUAAUCGCAGAUCAGCAACGCUGCGGUGAAUACGUUCCCGGGCCUUGUACACACCGCCCGUCACGUCAUGAAAGUCGGUAACACCCGAAGCCGGUGGC